AACCGUUAUUUUUUAAUGGCCAUUUAAAUAUUUUUCAUCUAUAUAAACAAAAGAAAGUCGUGACAGUUACCAACACAUAACUCGAGAACGACUGAAUAGAUUUUUAUGAAAGUUUCCACGUGUAUUUGACCGGACCGAGAAUAGGUUGUUAUGUAUUUUUCAUAUCCGUACGUCGUAACGGGGGCUGCCCCCCUAAUAUAUUUUUUUAUGUUUUUGGUCAAACUGUUUUUUCUUAAUUUUGUGUGAUGUGGAAGGCAAAGGUAAAUACAACCCUAAAUUUUCUCUUUUCUAUCUUCGACCAUUAUUUUUUAAUAGCCAUCUAAAAUUUUGCAUCUUAUAUAUAAAAAUCAUUUGCUGUGCGUUAGUCUCGCUAAAACUCGAGAAUGGCUGGACCGAUGUGGCUAAUUUUGAUGUUGAAUUAUUUGUGGAAGUUCAGGGAAGGUUUAUACGGUUUUAUAUUGUCAUUUUAGUAGCCACCAAAAUUUUUACAGCUAUAUGUAUAAAAUGCUCUUUUUACACUGUUUGUUGCCAUACUCCUCCGAAACGACUUGACCGAUUUUUAUGUGAGUUUGCAAGUAUACUCGACUGGCCUGGGAGUAGGUUUUUAUCUAUAUUUCUUAUCCGUGCGUCUUAAGGGGGGUUGCCCCCCUUAUAUUUAUUUCUAUUUUUUCAGACAAUCUCUUUUUUUUUAAUUUCAUAUGAUGUGGAACGUAAAGAUACAUACAACCCUAAAUUUUCACUUUUCUAUCACUAACCGUUAUUUUUUAAUGGCCAUUUAAAUAUUUUACAUCUAUAUAAACAAAAGAAAGUCGUGACAGUUACCAACACAUAACUCGAGAACGACUGAAUAGAUUUUUAUGAAAUUUUCCACGUAUAUUCGACCGGACCGAGAAUAGGUUGUUAUGUAUUUUUCAUAUCCGUACGUCGUAACGGGGGCUGCCCCCCUAAUAUAUUUUUUUAUUUUUUUGGUCAAACUGUUUUUUCUUAAUUUUGUGUGAUGUGGAAGGCAAAGGUAAAUACAACCCUAAAUUUUCUCUUUUCUAUCUUCGACCAUUAUUUUUUAAUAGCCAUCUAAAAUUUUGCAUCUUAUAUAUAAAAAUCAUUUGCUGUGCGUUAGUCUCGCUAAAACUCGAGAAUGGCUGGACCGAUGUGGCUAAUUUUGAUGUUGAAUUAUUUGUGGAAGUUCAGGGAAGGUUUAUACGGUUUUAUAUUGUCAUUUUAGUAGCCACCAAAAUUUUUACAGCUAUAUGUAUAAAAUGCUCUUUUUACACUGUUUGUUGCCAUACUCCUCCGAAACGACUUGACCGAUUUUUAUGAGAGUUUGCAAGUAUACUCGACUGGCCUGGGAGUAGGUUUUUAUCUAUAUUUCUUAUCCGUGCGUCUUAAGGGGGGUUGCCCCCCUUAUAUUUAUUUCUACUUUUUCAGACAAACUCUUUUUUUUUAAUUUCAUAUGAUGUGGAACGUAAAGAUACAUACAAUCCUAAAUUUUCACUUUUCUAUCACUAACCGUUAUUUUUUAAUGGCCAUUUAAAUAUUUUACAUCUAUAUAAACAAAAGAAAGUCGUGACAGUUACCAACACAUAACUCGAGAACGACUGAAUAGAUUUUUAUGAAAUUUUCCACGUAUAUUCGACCGGACCGAGAAUAGGUUGUUAUGUAUUUUUCAUAUCCGUA
RNAcentral lists this long non-coding RNA (1674 nucleotides) under Diabrotica virgifera virgifera (western corn rootworm). RNAcentral's name for it is "uncharacterized LOC126889342". The record is from RNAcentral. Lineage: Eukaryota; Metazoa; Arthropoda; Insecta; Coleoptera; Chrysomelidae.